GACGAACGCUGGCGGCGUGCUUAACACAUGCAAGUCGAACGGAAAGGCCCUGCUUGCAGGGUACUCGAGUGGCGAACGGGUGAGCAACACGUGGGUGAUCUGCCCUGCACUUCGGGAUAAGCCUGGGAAACUGGGUCUAAUACCGGAUAGGAGCCAUUUUUAGUGUGAUGGUUGGAAAGUUUUUUCGGUGUAGGAUGAGCUCGCGGCCUAUCAGCUUGUUGGUGGGGUAAUGGCCUACCAAGGCGGCGACGGGUAGCCGGCCUGAGAGGGUGGACGGCCACAUUGGGACUGAGAUACGGCCCAGACUCCUACGGGAGGCAGCAGUGGGGAAUAUUGCACAAUGGGCGCAAGCCUGAUGCAGCGACGCCGCGUGGGGGAUGACGGCCUUCGGGUUGUAAACUCCUUUCGCUAGGGACGAAGCUUUUUGUGACGGUACCUAGAGAAGAAGCACCGGCUAACUACGUG
Molecule: ribosomal RNA, 465 nt
Filed under: uncultured bacterium
Lineage: Bacteria
Description: partial 16S ribosomal RNA
Rfam family: Bacterial small subunit ribosomal RNA
Source: RNAcentral